GCAAGGACGUGUACUCUACACGAUCAAUCCUCCUUUGCAGUAGCAAACUGAGAAGCUUGCAAGAACAACGGAUUGCAAGCUGGGCGAUGAAUUGGUGGAAGGUGGUGUGUGGUCACAGUGAUGUUCGAAAUCUGAAGCAAUGAAUUCGACGAAGGGGGAGAGAAAGCGUGCAAGGACAUUGGUCGGUAGAAUAAAUUGGCUUGCAGUAAAAGAAGAUCACGUGAUGGCGCAUGGCCGCAUGGGAGAACUUAUGGUCUUUUGAUUCCAAAGGUUUCAAGCGCUUUGUUGUGAAAAGCUGAAAAGGUGAGGAGAACAAAGAAAAUUUAGAUCUGGUUUAGUUUCCAAUUUUUUCUUCAAACUUUUAACUUUUUCAUCGCAUCAAAAUUUUCCUACGCACACAAACUUUCAAUUUUUCCGUCACAUUGUUUCAAUUUCAAUCAAACUUCUAAUUUUAGCGUAAACUAAGGCCGGGUUUAGUUACAAAUUUUUUUCUUCAAACUUCCAACUUUUUCAUCAUAUCAAAACUUUCCUACACACACAAACUUUCAACUUUUCCAUCACAUCAUUUCAAUUUCAAUAAAAAUUCUAAUUUUGACGUGAGCUAAACAUACCCUUAAAAAGAUAGUCGUCAUAUUACUUCAAGGAGAAUAUACUACAGUAGUAUAUAUAGGAGUAGUUUUAUUUUAGAUAAUGAGUAUAUAGGAGUAGUAAAUUAUGGAAAUGGUAAGAUAUAACCAUGUUCAGUGUUCUACUUUUCAGUAGCCUCUCACAGGGUACACAAAAACAAGGAACCACCAACAUUGUACUUGAGAUGGUUAAUACUCUAAAAUCUAGAUAAAACUUGGGAACAAAGAGAGGCACUAACAUUUUCUUUUUGUUCUUUUGAUAAAACUGGUGCGUAGCCAUUGCACAUGAAGCUCGUUUUAUUACUACUACUACUACUGCUACUACUCAACUUGAUUAUAGAACUUGAAUAUAAUGUUGGGUUGUUGUGAUUAUCUCCCGCGGUAAUAAUUUUUUUCCACUGAACGAGGCAGCGCAAGCCAGAAUGCACAUGUUCAUGAGAUAAGUGUCAGAGGGGAUGGAUUUAGUAUUUGGAAAAUAGCUUAUGCCGAUCUGAAAACUACUCAGAUUUUCGCUCAGUGGUGGUGCACGUCGCUGGUCUUUUUUUCCCAUUUCCUCGGUUCGUGGCUAGCAGCCUCUUGCCCUCUUCUAGUUCACACGAAACUGGUUAGUGCACUAUUUUUCAAUGUAUCCUCCACAUGGGUUUGUCGAUGGAUGUCAGAUAUCCCUGGAAUAAACUUCAGAGAAAAAGUU
RNAcentral lists this small RNA (1317 nucleotides) under Oryza sativa Japonica Group (Japanese rice). RNAcentral describes it as "sRNA Os04g0418900". The record is from RNAcentral. Lineage: Eukaryota; Viridiplantae; Streptophyta; Magnoliopsida; Poales; Poaceae.